UCCCCCACAUUGGUACUGAGACACGGACCAAUGUCCUACGGGAGGCAGCAGUGAGGAAUAUUGGUCAAUGGGCGUAAGCCUGAACCAGCCAAGUCGCGUGAGGGAUGAAGGUUCUAUGGAUCGUAAACCUCUUUUAUAAGGGAAUAAAGUGCGGGACGUGUCCCGUUUUGUAUGUACCUUAUGAAUAAGGAUCGGCUAACUCCGUGCCAGCAGCCGCGGUAAUACGGAGGAUCCGAGCGUUAUCCGGAUUUAUUGGGUUUAAAGGGUGCGUAGGCGGCCUUUUAAGUCAGCGGUGAAAGUCUGUGGCUCAACCAUAGAAUUGCCGUUGAAACUGGGAGGCUUGAGUAUGUUUGAGGCAGGCGGAAUGCGUGGUGUAGCGGUGAAAUGCUUAGAUAUCACGCAGAACCCCGAUUGCGAAGGCAGCCUGCCAAGCCAUGACUGACGCUGAUGCACGAAAGCGUGGGGAUCAAACAGGAUUAGAUACCCUGGUAGUCCACGCAGUAAACGAUGAUCACUAGCUGUUUGCGAUACACAGUAA
This 538-nucleotide ribosomal RNA is filed under the name uncultured bacterium. RNAcentral describes it as "bacterial SSU rRNA". It matches the Rfam family "Bacterial small subunit ribosomal RNA", at positions 304 to 842 of the family's 1533-position model. The record is from RNAcentral.